Megalopta genalis is the source of this 1874-nucleotide long non-coding RNA. RefSeq lists it as uncharacterized. Lineage: Eukaryota; Metazoa; Arthropoda; Insecta; Hymenoptera; Halictidae. The record is from RefSeq and is a predicted model, not a curated record.
GCUCCGUUUUAACCGUUCAGCUCAGUAAUGUAAGGUUUGAUAUCCACGUGAACUGGCUCACCAUAAUAACAAAAAUUAAUGAAACAUAGUUCAAAAAAUUGCUCUUUAAUUGCCCAUAAUAAUUUUAGUUGCUCACUUAUUCUUAUCGAGAAAUAUUCAAAAAACUUUUUUGAGACGCCUAGGAACUUUCAUGAGAAGCUGGAGACAUUUAAUAAUACAAAAUUUCUGAAAUAAUGCAUAAUACUGACUGCAUAAUACUUGGAAUCUGCUCCAAGGAGCGAAGAGGAGACGUCACAAAUGAGAUUAGAAUCUAUUGGCAUCAUCCAAUCCUAUUUGUGAUCAGUAAUUCUCCUACUCCUACUUUCCUAGAAGAAAGUUGUAAAGCGGUCAGGAUGUUGGGAGGUCUGUCUGCGCGAGAAUUAGUCGAAGAUCUGUUAUAUCCUAUGAUGCAAUUCUGCAAACAACAUUCCUUUGUGCAGUUCUGAUGUUCUGGUUGUGCAUUUACCAUGGUCUGAGACAGAUGGAGCACCAGGCAUACACAUGCGCGAAAAGAGUGAGACCGCAAGCACGGUAAAGUGAAACAAGCUACAUUAGUCGACGGUGUGACUUGUUUCACUUGUAGUUGAGCUGAUGUUGUGCUCUCUUGCUCACUCAUUACUCGCUACUUCCUCUCUUUGUCUAGAACUAUGAGGGCAGCACUGUUUAGCUGUGGAAGCGAACCAAUCAGAUUUCUCUACCUGCUUCAUAAUUCUAAGCCGGUUGCCCUUGCUUGGCUUACUAUCGUGAGGUACUACUAAACCAUCAUGCGGCAGAUUGGCUUUGCAUAGUAACUACAUAUACCGUUAAACGCGGAAACCAUGGAAUCACACAGUAUUGCAGUAUGGUAACCAGGUUAAUUGUCAUUUGCUGUGUUGAGUUCAGUGCAUGUAGUUAUAUGUUCAUCGAUAGGAGGUGAGUCAAAUUAUUUAAAUUAAAUAGGGUAGAUGUUCCAGUUUCCUUGCCUGACCCAAAUUUCGUGCCCUCGGAUAAAAAGAAAAAUGUUAUAUCUAAAUUGAUGAUAUAUUUUUUGUUAUUAUAUUUACCUAUUAACAUGUAAGAUUCAGGGAGGGGUACUACAUUUUUCAUAUUUUAAAAUAUAAUAGUUUUUCAAUUGAUGCUACAGCAGGAAUUGAAAAGUAAGUAUAAAUAGUAUAAGUAUAAUAAGUAGCAUGUUGUGUCAAAAAUUGUAAGAAACAGAUGCCGAAAACGCAUAUUAUGUCGUAAGAGGGUUUCAUUUAGAACUAACAACGAUAAAAAACACUAAUUAUGCAUAUUUUUAUAUUUUUAAUAUAAGUCUGGAAAUAGGGUCAGAUUUUAGAUUUUAGAACAGAUUUUAUUUCAGAGCCCUCUUGUAUUAGACCACGUGGUUGAACCUAACCUCAUUUUUAUUUAAAACAAUGGAAAAAGCGUACAUGGGAUCCACGCACGGAAAUAUGGCAAGGCACAUAAUAAUGUGCCAAGCUCCUGGAAGGGCAUGGAAUUAAGGCCAGAAACAUUUUUUUUAGAAACAUUAAAUUACUAAUUUUUAUCACGCAAAAAAUAUCUUUAAAAUCAAAAAUGUUUAAAAAAUCGAAAUAUAUUUUUAGUGCAUUAAAUGAAAAUUCUAGUAUUUAAUGAGAGUUUUGGUAAAGCAAAUAUUGGCUUUAAGGCACGGUAAUUGGGGCAUCUACCCUAGCUUGUACUGUUGAAAAAUUGAAAUAUGUAACUACUUUGUAAAAUCUAGUAAUUGUUUUAUAUAAACAUUAUUCUUAUUUUAAUACCUUUAUAUGUGUAUUAAUAAAUGAGGUAAACUUUAAAAUAUGUAUGAUGUUAAUUUAAUACAAUAAUGGGACCUA